This 252-nucleotide unclassified non-coding RNA is filed under the name air metagenome. RNAcentral describes it as "partial contains small subunit ribosomal RNA, internal transcribed spacer 1, and 5.8S ribosomal RNA". The stretch from base 1 to 46 matches the Rfam family "Eukaryotic small subunit ribosomal RNA", at positions 1786 to 1831 of the family's 1831-position model. The record is from RNAcentral.
AAGUCGUAACAAGGUUUCCGUAGGUGAACCUGCGGAAGGAUCAUUAGUGAAUAUUAGGGUAUUUUUUUAAUCGAAAAACCUGACCUCCACUUUCCAACUCUUGUGCAUAUUAUAAGGAAUCGCUUUAUUGAUUAGCUCUUUGGAGUGAAAAAUUAGUGUUUUCUUAGCCCUUUCUUAUCACAAACAUAAGUAUUAAGUAUGUAACCAAAAUUAUAAUAAAAAAAACUUUCAACAACGGAUCUCUUGGCUCUC